This 376-nucleotide long non-coding RNA is filed under the name Chelydra serpentina (North American snapping turtle). Its description in RNAcentral is "lncRNA (ENSCSRG00000009234.1)". Lineage: Eukaryota; Metazoa; Chordata; Testudines; Chelydridae. The record is from RNAcentral.
CAGCUCAGAUGCACAGGAGCUGCAGCUGUGCAGUAACUGCAUGGUUUGGUCUGUGUUUUUCAGGCUCCAGCCGGCGAGUCUGGGCCUGGGAGCUCCAGGCGGGAUGCCUCUUACUCACCGAGCAGCCAGCAGGCUUCCAUAAACUUCAUCCCACCGCAGGAUGACAGCAAAUCACUGCGUCCCGCCUCUCCAGAGGGUGUCCCAGCUAAUGUCAAGCAGGCAUACAAGACCUUUGCAGCGGUGCCCCUGUCACAGGCAAAUAAGGAGACGCAUGGUCAGACAAGCACCGAGAAACCUAAAGCUUCUCCUGAGGUGAGUUUCAGUGGCUGGAAAUGAAGUUGGAGUUGGGAGUCCUAAUCACAGACCUUGGGGAUAA